CUGAGGAAUGAUUUGUAGGGAAGGAGAGGAGCCUGAGGAAUGAUUUGUAGGGACGGAGAGGUGCCUGAGGAAUGAUUUGUAGGGAAGGAGAGGUGCCUGAGGAAUGAUUUGUAGGGAAGGAGAGGAGCCUGAGGAAUGAUUUGUAGGGACGGAGAGGUGCCUGAGGAAUGAUUUGUAGGGAAGGAGAGGAGCCUGAGGAAUGAUUUGUAGGGAAGGAGAGGUGCCUGAGGAAUGAUUUGUAGGGAAGGAGAGGAGCCUGAGGAAUGAUUUGUAGGGACGGAGAGGUGCCUGAGGAAUGAUUUGUAGGGAAGGAGAGGAGCCUGAGGAAUGAUUUGUAGGGAAGGAGAGGUGCCUGAGGAAUGAUUUGUAGGGAAGGAGAGGAGCCUGAGGAAUGAUUUGUAGGGAAGGAGAGGAGCCUGAGGAAUAAUUUGUAGGGACGGAGAGGUGCCUGAGGAAUGAUUUGUAGGGAAGGAGAGGUGCCUGAGGAAUGAUUUGUAGGGAGGGAGAGGUGCCUGAGGAAUGAUUUGUAGGGAAGGAGAGGUGCCUGAGGAAUGAUUUGUAGGGACGGAGAGGUGCCUGAGGAAUGAUUUGUAGGGAAGGAGAGGAGCCUGAGGAAUGAUUUGUAGGGAAGGAGAGGUGCCUGAGGAAUGAUUUGUAGGGAAGGAGAGGAGCCUGAGGAAUGAUUUGUAGGGACGGAGAGGUGCCUGAGGAAUGAUUUGUAGGGAAGGAGAGGAGCCUGAGGAAUGAUUUGUAGGGAAGGAGAGGAGCCUGAGGAAUGAUUUGUAGGGAAUGAGAGGUGCCUGAGGAAUGAUUUGUAGGGAAGGAGAGGAGCCUGAGGAAUGAUUUGUAGGGAAGGAGAGGAGCCUGAGGAAUAAUUUGUAGGGACGGAGAGGUGCCUGAGGAAUGAUUUGUAGGGAAGGAGAGGAGCCUGAGGAAUGCUCUUCAGGUGUACAGUCGUUGAUUUUAGAGGUGGAAGAGAGAAGUGCUCAGACUCAAAGGGCUUUGGACUGGCCGUGAGCCAGCAAGCAAACACUGGGCGCCUAUGAGGAGAACCGCUAUGGUGCUGGGGGGAGGUCAGAAAUAGUUGGCUCAUUUUCCAUCUGCAUAUCCAACGAUAGAGAAAUGAUAUAUUCUUCUCUGGAGACCGUGACAUAAAGUUCUAGCCUAAUCAUCAACCAUUCCCCACUCACUCAAACACACGCCUACACAGUACUAUCAGAUGUCUAAACUUGAAGAUUUACAGUAAAAAGGAGCUCUCUUUUUGGGAAGUUGCCUUGGCGAUGGGCCAACAGGGAGUCCGCCUGCUUUGUGUGUAUGUAUGUGUGUGUGCGUGUGUGUGUUGUUGUUGUGACUCAGUGUUUGUGGGCUGCAGAUAACUGUGUCAAAAUUAAAAGCAAAUGUGUCCCAUCUCAAAUGGAUUUUAGGGCUUUAGUAAGAAAAUAACAGUCCUCAGUUUGCCGUGGCAGAUGUUUGUCAGAGUCUAAGAAUGUACUGUACAGACACUGUACAGAUACUAUCUUAAUUUGACCAGUUUCGCACUGCAGGAAAAUAAUCCUGCAGGAACAGGAAAUGUGAAUUAUUAUGUGGAUUGUAAUUAAUGGACGUUUUUAUAGGGGCUGAUUCAUUGUUUUUUUUUAAAU
This is a long non-coding RNA of Oncorhynchus tshawytscha (Chinook salmon), 1640 nucleotides long. Lineage: Eukaryota; Metazoa; Chordata; Actinopteri; Salmoniformes; Salmonidae. The record is from Ensembl.